AUCCGUCAGCACAACCCCCCCCCCCCCCCCGCGCUGUGUGUGCCCGUCCAUCAGCAACCCCCCUCUUUCUCCUGCACUGUGCGCCCGUCCAUCAUCACACACCCCCUCACCUUCACCAGCAUUGUGCCCGGCCUCCGCUCCCACGUCUGCGCCGGCCUGACGUCACACCGUAUGGCCGCGCAGGAGGACGUCAGUUACGUCACUCGCACGGCGCCCGGUGAGAAGGAGCGCUGCGCUGGAUGGAGGAUGAGAAUGCGCUGACAUAGUGAGGAGACGUGUGGGCAUCACAUUCUGCAGAGAGAAGUUUUAGCUGGAACAAGUCCUGGCGUAAAGCUCACUGAACUGUCUCUGCCAUCUAAAGUCACAGCUGCCUGGACCUCUCCAGAUUUGGACAAUAUUCUCCACAGGUCAACAACUUCCUGUGUUUCGGGAGCCGUUAAACGUAUGGUUGCCACAAAGACGUAGGAGGGAGGGAGGCCUUCCGGAAAUAUUUCUCUGUAAAGCAAAUACCAGUAUUUAAUGGCUAAACACCACUCCUAGAAAUAAGCACUCAUCUAUAAAUACAGAAUUGGUGAUACUAAAAUAUUGCUUCCUUUAUUUAUAUAGUUACCCCUUUAUUUAUUUUAAAGUCAUUUCUACCAUUAUAGGGUUGUGACAUUUGCCUGUAUGUAUUAAAGCACCAGAGAACAUUAA
This is a long non-coding RNA of Hyla sarda, 693 nucleotides long. RefSeq lists it as uncharacterized. The transcript is spliced from 3 exons. Lineage: Eukaryota; Metazoa; Chordata; Amphibia; Anura; Hylidae. The record is from RefSeq and is a predicted model, not a curated record.